RNAcentral lists this ribosomal RNA (492 nucleotides) under uncultured bacterium. RNAcentral's name for it is "partial 16S ribosomal RNA". It matches the Rfam family "Bacterial small subunit ribosomal RNA", at positions 28 to 507 of the family's 1533-position model. The record is from RNAcentral.
GAUGAACGCUAGCUACAGGCUUAACACAUGCAAGUCGAGGGGAAACGACAUCGAAAUCUUGCUUUUGAUUUGCGUCGACCGGCGCACGGGAGAGUAACGCGUCUCCCACCUGCCCAUCACUUGGGAAUAACCAUGCGAAAGUAAGACUAAUACCCAAUGAUAUCCGCCGAAGGCAUCGGAAUGGGACUAAAGAUUUAUCGGUGAUGGAUGGGGAUGCGUCUGAUUAGCUUGUUGGCGGGGUAACGGCACACCAAGGCAACGAUCAGUAGGUGUUCUGAGAGGAAGCUCCCCUAGAAUGGAGCUGAGACACAGACCAAUAUCCUAGGGGAGGCAGCAGUGUGGAACGUUGUGCAAUGGGGGAGAGCGUAGACACGCCAAGUAGGUGACGGGAAGACGGGACUAGGGAUAGUAAGCUACUUUUAAAAAAGAAUAAAGUGGGUAACGUGUGACUUUUUGCAGGUACCUAAUGAAUAAGGACCGGCUAAUUCCGUG